RNAcentral lists this ribosomal RNA (330 nucleotides) under uncultured eukaryote. Its description in RNAcentral is "partial 18S ribosomal RNA". It matches the Rfam family "Eukaryotic small subunit ribosomal RNA", at positions 1470 to 1796 of the family's 1831-position model. The record is from RNAcentral.
CCCUUAGAUGUUCUGGGCUGCACGCGCGCUACACUGAAGCGUUCAACGAGUAUUCACCUUGCCCGGGAGGGUUGGGUAAUCUUCUUAAAACGCUUCGUGAUGGGGAUAGAUUAUUGCAAUUAUUAAUCUUCAACGAGGAAUUCCUAGUAAGCGCGAGUCAUCAGCUCGUGCUGAUUACGUCCCUGCCCUUUGUACACACCGCCCGUCGCUACUACCGAUUGAAUGGUUUAGUGAGAUCUCUGGAUUGACGCUGGCUAGGGGGCGACCCUUGGCCAGGCUGUCGAGAAGCUGCUCAAACUUGAUCAUUUAGAGGAAGUAAAAGUCGUAACA